Molecule: ribosomal RNA, 1418 nt
Filed under: uncultured bacterium
Lineage: Bacteria
Description: bacterial SSU rRNA
Rfam family: Bacterial small subunit ribosomal RNA
Source: RNAcentral
UUUGAUCAUGGCUCAAGACGAACGCUGGCGGCGUGCUUAACACAUGCAAGUCGAACGAAGAGCGAUGGAAGCUUGCUUCUAUCAAUCUUAGUGGCGAACGGGUGAGUAACGCGUAAUCAACCUGCCCUUCAGAGGGGGACAACAGUUGGAAACGACUGCUAAUACCGCAUACGAUCUGACCUCGGCAUCGAGGAUAGAUGAAAGGUGGCCUCUACAUGUAAGCUAUCACUGAAGGAGGGGAUUGCGUCUGAUUAGCUAGUUGGAGGGGUAACGGCCCACCAAGGCGAUGAUCAGUAGCCGGUCUGAGAGGAUGAACGGCCACAUUGGGACUGAGACACGGCCCAGACUCCUACGGGAGGCAGCAGUGGGGAAUCUUCCGCAAUGGACGAAAGUCUGACGGAGCAACGCCGCGUGAGUGAUGACGGCCUUCGGGUUGUAAAGCUCUGUUAAUCGGGACGAAAGGCCUUCUUGCGAAUAGUGAGAAGGAUUGACGGUACCGGAAUAGAAAGCCACGGCUAACUACGUGCCAGCAGCCGCGGUAAUACGUAGGCGGCAAGCGUUGUCCGGAAUUAUUGGGCGUAAAGCGCGCGCAGGCGGAUAGGUCAGUCUGUCUUAAAAGUUCGGGGCUUAACCCCGUGAUGGGAUGGAAACUGCCAAUCUAGAGUAUCGGAGAGGAAAGUGGAAUUCCUAGUGUAGCGGUGAAAUGCGUAGAUAUUAGGAAGAAUACCAGUGGCGAAGGCGACUUUCUGGACGAAAACUGACGCUGAGGCGCGAAAGCCAGGGGAGCGAACGGGAUUAGAUACCCCGGUAGUCCUGGCCGUAUACGAUGGGUACUAGGUGUAGGACGUAUCGACCCCUUCUGUGCCGGAGUUAACGCAAUAAGUACCCCGCCUGGGGAGUACGACCGCAAGGUUGAAACUCAANGGAAUUGACGGGGGCCCGCACAAGCGGUGGAGUAUGUGGUUUUAAUUCGACGCAACGCGAAGAACCUANCCAGGUCUGACCAUGAUGGGACAGAACUAGAGAUAGUUCCUCUUCUCGGGAAGCCAGAAAACAGGUGGUGCACGGUNGUCGUCAGCUCGUGUCGUGAGAUGUGGNNUNAAGUCCCGCACNGAGCGCAACCCCUAUCUUAUGUUGCCAGCACUUGGUGGGGGAACUCAUGAGAGACUGCCGCAGACAAUGCGGAGGAAGGCGGGGAUGACGUCAAAUCAUCAUGCCCCUUAUGACCUGGGCUACACACGUACUACAAUGGGAGUUAAUAGACGGAAGCAAGAUCGCGAGAUGGAGCAAACCCGAGAAACACUCUCUCAGUUCGGAUCGUAGGCUGCAACUCGCCUACGUGAAGUCGGAAUCGCUAGUAGUCGCAGGUCAGCAUACUGCGGUGAAUACGUUCCCGGCCUUUGUACACACCGCCCGUC